GUGGUAUUAGCUCAACUGGUUAGAGCGCCUGCCUGUGAAGCAGGAGGUUGCCGGUUCGAAUCCGGUAUACCACC
Molecule: transfer RNA, 74 nt
Filed under: Candidatus Woesebacteria bacterium
Lineage: Bacteria; Candidatus Woeseibacteriota
Description: tRNA-His
Rfam family: tRNA
About the family: Transfer RNA (tRNA) molecules are approximately 80 nucleotides in length. Their secondary structure includes four short double-helical elements and three loops (D, anti-codon, and T loops). Further hydrogen bonds mediate the characteristic L-shaped molecular structure. tRNAs have two regions of fundamental functional importance: the anti-codon, which is responsible for specific mRNA codon recognition, and the 3' end, to which the tRNAs corresponding amino acid is attached (by aminoacyl-tRNA synthetases). tRNAs cope with the degeneracy of the genetic code in two manners: having more than one tRNA (with a specific anti-codon) for a particular amino acid; and 'wobble' base-pairing, i.e. permitting non-standard base-pairing at the 3rd anti-codon position.
Source: RNAcentral